RNAcentral lists this ribosomal RNA (96 nucleotides) under Klebsiella variicola. Lineage: Bacteria; Pseudomonadati; Pseudomonadota; Gammaproteobacteria; Enterobacterales; Enterobacteriaceae. The record is from RNAcentral.
CCUGGCGGCGAUAGCGCGGUGGUCCCACCUGACCCCAUGCCGUAGCGCCGAUGGUAGUGUGGGGUCUCCCCAUGUGAGAGUAGGGAACUGCCAGGC